AAAUUGAAGAGUUUGAUCAUGGCUCAGAUUGAACGCUGGCGGCAGGCCUAACACAUGCAAGUCGAACGGUAACAGGAAACAGCUUGCUGUUUCGCUGACGAGUGGCGGACGGGUGAGUAAUGUCUGGGAAACUGCCUGAUGGAGGGGGAUAACUACUGGAAACGGUAGCUAAUACCGCAUAACGUCGCAAGACCAAAGAGGGGGACCUUCGGGCCUCUUGCCAUCGGAUGUGCCCAGAUGGGAUUAGCUUGUUGGUGGGGUA
Molecule: ribosomal RNA, 262 nt
Filed under: Escherichia coli
Lineage: Bacteria; Pseudomonadati; Pseudomonadota; Gammaproteobacteria; Enterobacterales; Enterobacteriaceae
Also listed under: 1 other name
Description: partial 16S ribosomal RNA
Rfam family: Bacterial small subunit ribosomal RNA
Source: RNAcentral